CUUACGGCAGCUAUCCAUGCAGUCGAACGGCAGCGCGGGGCAACCUGGCGGCGAGUGGCGAACGGGUGAGUAAUACAUCGGAACGUACCCAGAAGUGGGGGAUAACGUAGCGAAAGUUACGCUAAUACCGCAUACGUUCUACGGAAGAAAGCGGGGGAUCUUCGGACCUCGUGCUUUUGGAGCGGCCGAUGUCUGAUUAGCUAGUUGGUGAGGUAAAGGCUCACCAAGGCGACGAUCAGUAGCUGGUCUGAGAGGACGACCAGCCACACUGGGACUGAGACACGGCCCAGACUCCUACGGGAGGCAGCAGUGGGGAAUUUUGGACAAUGGGCGCAAGCCUGAUCCAGCAAUGCCGCGUGAGUGAAGAAGGCCUUCGGGUUGUAAAGCUCUUUUGUCAGGGAAGAAACGGGGCUGGCUAAUAUCCGGCCUUAAUGACGGUACCUGAAGAAUAAGCACCGGCUAACUACGUGCCAGCAGCCGCGGUAAUACGUAGGGUGCAAGCGUUAAUCGGAAUUACUGGGCGUAAAGCGUGCGCAGGCGGUUUUGUAAGUCUGACGUGAAAUCCCCGGGCUCAACCUGGGAAUUGCGUUGGAGACUGCAAGGCUGGAGUCUGGCAGAGGGGGGGUAGAAUUCCACGUGUAGCAGUGAAAUGCGUAGAGAUGUGGAGGAACACCGAUGGCGAAGCAAGCCCCCCUGGGUCAAGACUGACCGCUCAU
Molecule: ribosomal RNA, 716 nt
Filed under: Betaproteobacteria bacterium
Lineage: Bacteria; Pseudomonadati; Pseudomonadota; Betaproteobacteria
Description: bacterial SSU rRNA
Rfam family: Bacterial small subunit ribosomal RNA
Source: RNAcentral